AAAGCUCCGGCGGUGCAGGAUGAGCCCGCGGCCUAUCAGCUUGUUGGUGAGGUAGUGGCUCACCAAGGCGACGACGGGUAGCCGGCCUGAGAGGGCGACCGGCCACACUGGGACUGAGACACGGCCCAGACUCCUACGGGAGGCAGCAGUGGGGAAUAUUGCACAAUGGGCGAAAGCCUGAUGCAGCGACGCCGCGUGAGGGAUGACGGCCUUCGGGUUGUAAACCUCUUUCAGCAGGGAAGAAGCGAAAGUGACGGUACCUGCAGAAGAAGCGCCGGCUAACUACGUGCCAGCAGCCGCGGUAAUACGUAGGGCGCAAGCGUUGUCCGGAAUUAUUGGGCGUAAAGAGCUCGUAGGCGGCUUGUCACGUCGGUUGUGAAAGCCCGGGGCUUAACCCCGGGUCUGCAGUCGAUACG
Molecule: ribosomal RNA, 416 nt
Filed under: Streptomyces sp. sp2
Lineage: Bacteria; Bacillati; Actinomycetota; Actinomycetes; Kitasatosporales; Streptomycetaceae
Description: bacterial SSU rRNA
Rfam family: Bacterial small subunit ribosomal RNA
Source: RNAcentral